Molecule: transfer RNA, 74 nt
Filed under: Turnera subulata
Lineage: Eukaryota; Viridiplantae; Streptophyta; Magnoliopsida; Malpighiales; Passifloraceae
Description: tRNA-Met
Rfam family: tRNA
About the family: Transfer RNA (tRNA) molecules are approximately 80 nucleotides in length. Their secondary structure includes four short double-helical elements and three loops (D, anti-codon, and T loops).
Source: RNAcentral
GGGGUGGUGGCGCAGUUGGCUAGCGCGUUGGUCUCAUAAUCCUGAGGUCGAGAGUUCGAGCCUCUCUCACCCCA